AUGUGGAUUCCCUGGGGAAUCUCCCUAAAAUGUAGACUCUGACUCAUUGAAUCUGGGGCAGCACCUGAGAUUCUGCAUUUCUAAAAACCUUCCAAGUGAUGGCCAU
RNAcentral lists this microRNA precursor (106 nucleotides) under Marmota monax (woodchuck). The record is from RNAcentral. Lineage: Eukaryota; Metazoa; Chordata; Mammalia; Rodentia; Sciuridae.